AGUGAACGCUGGCGGUAGGCCUAACACAUGCAAGCCGAACGGCAGCACAGUAAGAGCUUGCUCUUACGGGUGGCGAGUGGCGGACGGGUGAGGAAUACAUCGGAAUCUACUUUCUCGUGGGGGAUAACGUAGGGAAACUUACGCUAAUACCGCAUACGACCUACGGGUGAAAGCAGGGGAUCUUCGGACCUUGCGCGAUUGAAUGAGCCGAUGUCGGAUUAGCUAGUUGGCGGGGUAAAGGCCCACCAAGGCGACGAUCCGUAGCUGGUCUGAGAGGAUGAUCAGCCACACUGGAACUGAGACACGGUCCAGACUCCUACGGGAGGCAGCAGUGGGGAAUAUUGGACAAUGGGCGCAAGCCUGAUCCAGCCAUACCGCGUGGGUGAAGAAGGCCUUCGGGUUGUAAAGCCCUUUUGUUGGGAAAGAAAAGCAGCAGGUUAAUACCCCGCUGUUCUGACGGUACCCAAAGAAUAAGCACCGGCUAACUUCGUG
This 492-nucleotide ribosomal RNA is filed under the name uncultured bacterium. RNAcentral's name for it is "partial 16S ribosomal RNA". It matches the Rfam family "Bacterial small subunit ribosomal RNA", at positions 29 to 507 of the family's 1533-position model. The record is from RNAcentral.